This 468-nucleotide ribosomal RNA is filed under the name uncultured bacterium. Its description in RNAcentral is "partial 16S ribosomal RNA". It matches the Rfam family "Bacterial small subunit ribosomal RNA", at positions 28 to 507 of the family's 1533-position model. The record is from RNAcentral.
GACGAACGCUGGCGGCGUGCUUAACACAUGCAAGUCGAACGGAAAGGCCCUGCUUUUGUGGGGUGCUCGUGUGGCGAAGGGGUGAGUAACACGUGUGUAACCUGCCCUUGACUUUGGGAUAUAUUCAGGAAACUGGGGCUAAUAUCGGAUAUGAGCUCCUGAUGCAUGGUGUGGGUUGGAAAGUUUCGGCGUUUGGGGAUGGGUUCGCGGGUUAUCCGCUUGUUGGUGGGGUAGUGGCUUCACAAGGUUGCGACGGGUAGGCGGCCUGAGAGGGUGACCAGCCACAAUGGGACUAAGGUACGGCCCAGACUCCAACGGGAGGCAACGGUGGGGAGUAUUGCACAGUGGGCGGAAGCCAGAGGCAGCAACGCCGCGUUCGGAAUGACGGCCUUCGGGGGAAAAACCACUGUCGCCGGUAACGAAGCGUGAGUGACGGUAAUGAAUAAGGAAGCACCGGCUAACUACGUG